AGUGAACGCUGGCGGUAGGCCUAACACAUGCAAGUCGAACGGCAGCACAGUAAGAGCUUGCUCUUACGGGUGGCGAGUGGCGGACGGGUGGGGAAUACAUCGGAAUCUACUUUUUCGUGGGGGAUAACGUAGGGAAACUUACGCUAAUACCGCAUACGACCUACGGGUGAAAGCAGGGGAUCUUCGGACCUUGCGCGAUUGAAUGAGCCGAUGUCGGAUUAGCUAGUUGGCGGGGUAAAGGCCCACCAAGGCGACGAUCCGUAGCUGGUCUGAGAGGAUGAUCAGCCACACUGGAACUGAGACACGGUCCAGACUCCUACGGGAGGCAGCAGUGGGGAAUAUUGGACAAUGGGCGCAAGCCUGAUCCAGCCAUACCGCGUGGGUGAAGAAGGCCUUCGGGUUGUAAAGCCCUUUUGCUGGGAAAGAAAAGCAGCAGGUUAAUACCCCGCUGUUCUGACGGUACCCAAAGAAUAAGCACCGGCUAACUUCGUG
This 492-nucleotide ribosomal RNA is filed under the name uncultured bacterium. Its description in RNAcentral is "partial 16S ribosomal RNA". It matches the Rfam family "Bacterial small subunit ribosomal RNA", at positions 29 to 507 of the family's 1533-position model. The record is from RNAcentral.